CAGAAACCAGGAGGAAUAAUUGCUCUUCUUGAUGAAGCCUGGUAAGCUGCUCCAGCCUGCCAUCUACUGAUCAUCUGAACAAUCAACGAAAAAUAAAGAAAACACUUGCUUUGAAAAAAAGAAAAAAAUGAAAAGUAGGAUAUAACAGAAUUUUCCACUCUUGCAGCAUGUUUCCGAAAUCAACUCAUGAAACCUUUGCACAGAAGAUGUACCAGACUUAUAAAGCGCACAAACGCUUCAGCAAGCCGAAGCUUGCCAGAACCGACUUCACCAUAAAUCAUUAUGCCGGUGAUGUAUGUAAGGAUAAAGACACAGACAUUCAUCAGGUUUAGUGAAUAUAGAAUUUUCUUAUUGUUCUCUUCUGUCUGAACAGGUAACCUAUCAAGCAGAUCAAUUUCUCGACAAAAAUAAGGAUUAUGUUAUUGCAGAACAUCAAAAUCUUUUGAAUGAUUCUAGUUGCUCAUUUGUUGCAAAUCUUUUCCCUUCAUUGCCUGAUGAAACAUCAAAGCAAUCCAAGUUUUCCUCCAUCGGUACCCGCUUCAAAGUAGGUGAAAAUCAGCAAACUGUACUGGCAAUUCAUCAAUCAAAGUCAUAUUCCUCUCACAUUUCUCAUCAUAUAAAUCAUGAAAAAUUUGCAGCAACAAUUACAAUCAUUAAUGGAAACCCUGAGCACAACAGAGCCACAUUACAUCAGAUGUGUGAAGCCAAAUACAGUUCUGAAACCUGGGAUAUUUGAGAACUUCAAUGUCUUGAACCAGUUAAGAUGCGGAGUAAGUCGCUAACUCAUCUCUGAUAGUCACGUUAUAUUUUUAAUUUCUGAGACGCGUAUAACAUUUGAUGACACUCUGGCAGGGUGUACUAGAGGCCAUAAGAAUAAGCUGUGCAGGGUAUCCGACAAAAAGAACAUUCGAUGAGUUUAUAGACCGGUUUGGAAUGCUAGCCCCAGAUGUUGUGGAUGGGUGAGUAAUCUAUCCUACUCCACCAGAUUUAGCCUAAUUUAGUAUCCCGUGUGAAUCCCAUGUAUGCACGUGAGAUCACAAGUUUGCCUUCGACAAUGAGAACCUAGGACAUAGUUAUGUUUAUAUCUAACAGUUUCUGCAUUGCAGGUCAGAUGAGAAAUCAGCAUGUAUUGCAAUAUGUGACAGGAUGGGCUUAAAAGGCUAUCAAGUAAGAAAUAUUUAAAUCUAAAAAACUUUAAUUACUGCUAGCAAUUUAGCAUUGUCAUUUCUUGCACCUCAGAUUGGGAAAAGCAAGGUAUUUCUGAGAGCAGGGCAGAUGGCUGAAUUAGAUGCUAGAAGAGCAGAAGUUCUGGCUCGUGCCGUCAAGCGCAUUCAGAGGCAAAUCCGAACUCACCUUACAAGAAAAGAGUUUAUUAUUCUACGGAAGGCAUCCAUAAAUGUCCAGAAACUUUGGAGAGGUAUUAGACAUGUCACAAGCAAGUUUUCAGGCAAUUCUCUGACAAUAAAUGAUUGCCAAAGGCUCAUAUCAAAACUUUUUUAUGCUUCCCACAGCACGAAUUGCGUGCAAGCUUUAUGAACACAUGAGGAGAGAAGCUGCUUCAAUCCGAAUACAGAAACAUGCACGUACUCUUGCAGCAAGAAAUUCAUACACCAAAUUGCAGGAGGCAGCGGUAAUAAUUCAAACUGGCUUACGAGCAACGGCAGCACGGAAUGAGUUCAGACGCAGAAGACAAAACAAAGGAGCAACAAUCAUUCAGGUAAUAUUAUUUGAAAAGAAGAAAGUAAGGCAGAUAGGAGACUAUGAUACUGGUCUGUAUUUCUUGAUUGGAAUAAUUGAUUAAAUUCAUUGUCUUUGUGCUUCCACAAUACAAAACCAUCGAUCUAGAUAUUAAAUUUAUCUGUGUCUUUGUGCAGACACAAUGGAGAAGUUUCUACGCCCUUUCUGCCUAUAAACGGCUCAAGAAGGCCAACAUUUCACUUCAAUGCCUUGGCGAGCUAGAAUAGCGAGGAAGGAGCUUCGGAAGUUAAGAAUGGUUAGUAUUAAUUCCACAGUCUUACUGCUAAUAAAUACAGAUGUUAAAGGCUAAUAUUUUCCUAAAACAGGAAGCAAGAGACACAGGAGCACUCAAGGAAGCAAAGGACAAGCUGGAAAAGCGUGUUGAUGAGCUAACAUGGAGAUUAGACAUUGAGAAACACCUACGAGUACGCUGCAAAUUCACUCUCCCAAUUUAAGUAAUAAUCAAAUUUCACAGCAGGCAGCAGCAAGAACGAAUUUGCAAAUAAUUUAUACAAGCAGCCACUAAUUCUAUUGUUCAGUUAUUUCUAAAACCAAACAAAUAUAUCAGAUGUUAGAGUUAUUGUCUAAGUAUUAGAUAAUUUAUCUGUGGUGAUAUGCAUCCUUCAAUUAUACGUCAUAAUAAAAAUUAAUCAUCUUGCAGAUGGAUAUUGAAGAAGCCAAGGGGCAGGAAAUAGCAAAAUUGCAGAAUGUUUUACAGGAUAUGCAAACACAGCUUCAUGAAGCUCAAGCUGCAAUCAUUCAUGAAAGAGAAGCUGCCAAGAUAGCAAUCGAACAAGCCCCGCCAGUCAUCAAAGAGGUACCAGUUGUUGACAACACGAAGGUGGAGCUACUGACAAAUCAAAACCACGAACUCGAGGUAUCAUCAAACAACUAUAGUACACUUCAUUCAUACAACGAUAGCAUUUUCAUCUAGAAACUAGAAACAGUCACAAUUCAAAUGCAGUUGGUAAAAAUUAAAUAAUAUUGAAAUUUGAUUGUUUACUAUUACUACAAUAGUUAAGUAUGAUAAAGACUUUAUUUAGCGAAACAGUGCUAUAAGGUACAUAAUUAACAAAAAACUCUACCACUCACUAUUCCAAAAGAUCACUCAAGGCACAUUCCGAAUAAUUUCAUUACCAACAUUAGAAACUAGCAAAUGUCAUGUAUAGCCUAUAGGGUAGGGAAGCUGACCUAAUUCCGAGUGCAUAUUUGCAGGAAGUGAUUACUGAAUUGAAGAAGAAGGUAGAAGAGUUUGAGCAGGCUUAUUCAAAGGUGGAACUAGAAAGCCAAGCUAGACUUAAAGAAGCAGAAGAGGCACAAAUGAAAACUUCACAACUGCAAGAGAGCAUUGAAAGGUAUUUGGUAUUACUAUUAAUCAUAUGUACAUGUAGCUUUAUCGAAAAUCUUGACUCUAAUAUGACUAUAUCCGUUUUACAUCUCUUCAGAUUAGAAUCAAACCUAUCUAAUCUCGAGUCUGAGAAUCAGGUGCUACGUCAGCAGGCUUUGGCUGCAUCAGCUAAGGAAGACUUCACUGUGGAAAUGGAACUGUAAGAAUAUAAAAAAGAGACACUCUGAGCUUUACACUGGGUACUUUCGUUCCUACAAAAACUUGAUAAAACCCUAUGCAAAUUUCAGUUAAUACAAAAUAACUACAGAUUACUAGGUAUCAUUAAUAGAUAAUCAAAGAACUAGUUGACAAUAAAACAUACCUGAAGCACUUCACAUAGCUGGGCACAUAGGUGAUGUUUCUUGAAAGCAAUCACUGCAGAUAUUUGAAAUUGUUUUAUGUCAGACUAAGGGAGAAGAUUAAAGUUUUGGAGUUGGAGAACACGUUGCUCCACAGUCAAAAAGUUGUUGUGCCACAAAUACAGAGUUCUGAUGGUGAUCAAGUUAUAUCAUCAUCAGUAAAGGUACAGUAGUAGGUUUCACUUGUUUGUACAAAUUACUGAAUUUUCAAUUUAAUUGACGACUGGCUAUUUUAAAAAUGCAGAAUUUGGAUAAUGGAUACGAGAACCAUAAUGGCGGGGACACAAUGGUACACCAACUGACAACAGAAGUAGAGCAGCAGAUAAAUGAAGUGAUAAAGGUUCCGUUCAACAACUACAUCUACAAAUUAGUUCCUCAAAAAAAAAAAGACAUAUACAAAUUGGUUUUCUGUUAAUGGUGUCAGUAAACAAGUGCAAUUCUUAUGUAGGAUUCAGAGGCUAUUCCCCCUCUUCUCUCUAAACAGAGAUCCUUGACAGAUAGGCAGCAGGUAGUAAAACCACCACUCCUUAAAAUCAUGGGAAAAAUAUGUUGCUAUGUAUAAUGGGAAUUUGUAUGUGAUUUAUCAGGAAAAUCAUGACGCACUGAUCAAAUGUCUUCUAGAAGACAACCGCUUUGAUAAGAAUAGGCCAGUUGCUGCCUGCAUCGUGUACAGAACACUCAUACAGUGGAGAUCCUUUGAAGCAGAUAAAACUAAUAUAUUUGAUAGGAUUAUUCAUGCAAUCCAAUCAUCAAUUGAGGUAACAGAACAAGAGCAUAAACACUAUAAAUUUUCAACAUAUAACUAAUACUAGUUUUAUGUGCAAAACCAGGACAGCACCAAGAAUCUGGCAUACUGGCUGUCAACAACUUCGACUCUUUUGUUUCUUCUGCAAAGAACGAUCAAGGCAAGCAAUACAUCAGCAGCAGCUUCAAGAAGAAACAGAAGUUCACCCAUCUCGCUUUUUGGUAGAAUGGCACAGGUAAAAUGUUGAUGGCUAGUCAGUCGUCUGCAUAAUAAUGUUGUCAUGCAGCUAUUUCACAUCUAGCAUUCCAUUGCCAGGUGCGGUCAUCUUCUAUGAUCAUGGGACUAUCUAGUGGUUACAGCGGGAUGGAGGGCAACCCGAUCAAGAAAUCAAGGAUUGAGGCAAAAUAUCCGGCUUUGUUGUUUAAGCAACAUCUGACAGCAUGUGUUGAGAAAUUAUAUGGGAUGAUUCGUGAUGGCUUGAAGAAAGAGAUCAGUCCAUUUCUUAAUUUGUGUAUACAAGUAAGUACUUGUCAAUUCUGAAAGAUUAUACACACAUGUCUUUUAUAAAUUGGAAUUUGGUAAAAACAGGCACCGAGAGCUGCGAGGAUCAGACCGGUAAAAGGGCCCUCUAAAACCAUCCAUUCACAUAUCAUGAAACAACAGAGCUCUAGCAUACACUGGCAAAAUAUCAUCCAAUGCUUUGAUCAUACCAUGAGAAUACUGUCCGAAAAUUAUGUAAGUGGAAGCUUGUUAUUCCUUAAAUGGAUUUUUUAAAACAUAUUAAUAAUGACAAAAGAAUCUUUGUUUAGGUUGCACCAACCAUCACAAGGAAGAUUUUCAGCCAAGUAUUCUCAUUCAUAAAUGUUCAGCUUUUCAAUAGGUAAGAAAUCAUUCCUACUUCUAAAUUUGCACUACGGCAACAAUUUUAGUGUCCUAAUACUGCUUUUUGCCCUAUCUGCUUCUAUUGUUAGCUUACUGCUACGUCGUGAAUGCUGUUCAUUUAGCAACGGUGAAUAUGUUAAGGCUGGUUUACAAGAACUGGAAAACUGGUGUGUAAAAGCAACGGCUGAGGUAAAUGAUUAUUCACAUAAAUACUUAUUAGAUGAUUCUAGAAAGGUCAAAUUUCUUACAUAUUUUCCAUCUUUAUGCAGUAUGCUGGAUCCUCGUGGGACGAACUCCAACACAUAAGACAAGCUAUAGCAUUUCUGGUAUAACUAAUCUAGUUCAGCUUGCAUUAAAUUUUAAAAGAACCAUAACUGAUCAAGUGAUGCAUCCUUUACCUUUUGCAGGUCCUGCAUCAGAAAACUCACAAAUCCUUGGAUGAGAUCACAAGUGAACUCUGUCCGGUAAACUUGACCUUAUGCUGUAUUUCGUUUCCUUACUCAAAACCGUGAAAUGAUUUGAUUUCUUCGCGGAGGGGAAAUCCAUCAUACACCUUAGUCAUAACAUGGAUCUAUUCUUCAUUCUUUGCUUUCAUUGAUUUGAUCAGGUAUUGAGCAUUGCACAAAUAUAUAGAAUCGGAACCAUGUUUUGGGAUGAUAAAUAUGGAACCCAAGGAUUAUCUACAGAGGUAAAAGCUCUUCUUUGGUUCAUAUAUGCAUUAUUUAGAUCUAUUUUUCAGAAUUUAACUUUAUAUAAAACUUGCAAUCAUUUGAAUUUAAGGUAAUUGCAAAGAUGAAAGCUCUGACAGUAGAAGAUUCAAUUAGUACACCAAACAAUACAUUCUUGCUCGAUGUGGAUUCAAGGUAUUCAAACUUUAAGGCAUAAAACUCGAGAAACAACAGCCACUAACGUGUAUUUAUUCAAAUUGCAGCAUACCUUUCUCCAUGGAUGAGAUAUCAGAGUCUUUCCAGGAUAUCAAUGUAUCAGAUGUGAAUCCGCCACCUCUUCUUCG
This 6122-nucleotide long non-coding RNA is filed under the name Salvia miltiorrhiza (redroot sage). RNAcentral's name for it is "long non-coding RNA (SMIL_LNC010529)". The record is from RNAcentral. Lineage: Eukaryota; Viridiplantae; Streptophyta; Magnoliopsida; Lamiales; Lamiaceae.